CCUGGCAGCCUCUGGGAAGAAGCAAGGGACUCUGGCAGAGGCUACAGGCUCCUUGGGCAGCGCGGAAGGAAGAACCUCUCAAGAUGUCUUCCAGUAAUGACCCCACUGUAAUACCAAUGGCAGAAAGACGUUAUGGUGACCUUCCCGAAACAAACACCAGUGACCCGGAGACACUGACUGAAGAGGCUGUGUUGAGUUUUCACAACAUCAGCUACAGAGAAACAGUGCAGAGCGGAUUUCCACUUCGUCAGCAGACACAUGUGAUGGAAAGACUGUCGAGCAUCAGUGGGAUCAUGGGACCUGGCCUCAAUGCCAUUAUGGGACCUCAGGAUGGGAGCAGAUCUCUGUGAGUAUAAC
Molecule: long non-coding RNA, 357 nt
Filed under: Rattus norvegicus (Norway rat)
Lineage: Eukaryota; Metazoa; Chordata; Mammalia; Rodentia; Muridae
Description: long non-coding RNA NONRATT009196
Source: RNAcentral